Molecule: transfer RNA, 72 nt
Filed under: Mus musculus (house mouse)
Lineage: Eukaryota; Metazoa; Chordata; Mammalia; Rodentia; Muridae
Also listed under: 1 other name
Source: Rfam by way of RNAcentral
GGGGGUGUAGCUCAGUGGUAGAGCCCUUGCCUAGCAUGUGGAAGGCCUUGAGUUCAACCCUCAAUACUACAG